ACUCCUCUCCUGUUGUAAACUUUGUUUCUAUCUUAUGUGUCCCUAAGAAGCCCCACAAGCCUAUGAUGGUUAGUUAUCCCUGUCUGAAAAUCUCAACUGAGGGAAAAUAACCUAUUCUGAGGCUUAGGGGUGUGGCUGCAUGUUCCAGAAGUAGUUCAGGCUUUAUAAGGAUCAAAUUGAGUGGACUCCACAGGGAGCUGUGUGCGCCCUGCUGAGAUUCCAGUCUAGCGAUCAUCCCUUCAGACCUGAAGACUAAAGUUCUGGUUGCCAUAUUAACAUCUGUCCCCUUCAGUGAUGGCUCUGAAGGCACAGGCUCUGUGAGAUGGCAGAAAUGGACAAGCAGCCAGUACUUACUGUGGAAGGAGAAUGCCUACCACAUAUUUCAAGGAAAUGAAUGUGCCCUUUGAAACUGAAACAGGAAUGUAAAAUAUAUGCCAGCUUGUGGCAGUAAGAAUGCUUUUACUGACCUUGCCUCUGGCAGUGUCCUGACAUUUAGAAAAGAAGGGUGCCAUGGCCCGGCAGAGCUGUUGGUUUCCAGGGGCUCUGUCAAUAGCACCACGGAGCCCCUCUUUCUAUCUGAAUGGCAUUGCUGGCACUGGGCCACUGCUUGGGCAGCAGAGGUUGGCACAUGAACAGGAAAGAAGCAAAGUGGUAUUGUGGGCGUGAUGUCUGUCUUUGUUUCUAUUUAAAUGCCAGGCUUGAAGUGGACAGAUUGCCUUUUCUGAUGAAAUUGGGAGGUGUGUGUGGAGUCUACAUAUAAGGUUAUCUCCCAGUACUGCCCAGUGGGAUCUGCACAGCCCUGCUUCUGCUAAUGCCUAUGAGUUAAUCUCCCCCAAAUAGAAUCAUUUAAGAAUUCUUCGUGUACAACCAGAGAAACGAUAGUUGUACCCCAUUUGUGUACAAUGAAUCAAAAUUAAAAAAAUAAAAGAAUUCUUUGGGUUUCAUCCUCAGAAAUAGCCAA
Molecule: long non-coding RNA, 961 nt
Organism: Sciurus carolinensis (gray squirrel)
Lineage: Eukaryota; Metazoa; Chordata; Mammalia; Rodentia; Sciuridae
Exons: 2
Source: RefSeq, a predicted model, not a curated record